GACGAACGCUGGCGGCGUGCUUAACACAUGCAAGUCGAACGGAAAGGCCCUGCUUUUGUGGGGUGCUCGAGUGGCGAACGGGUGAGUAACACGUGAGUAACCUGCCCUUGACUUUGGGAUAACUUCAGGAAACUGGGGCUAAUACCGGAUAGGAGCUCCUGCUGCAUGGUGGGGGUUGGAAAGUUUCGGCGGUUGGGGUUGGACUCGCGGCUUAUCAGCUUGUUGGUGGGGUAGUGGCUUACCAAGGCUUUGACGGGUAGCCGGCCUGAGAGGGUGACCGGCCCCAUUGGGCCUGGGAUACGGCCCAGCCUCCUACGGGAGGCAGCAGUGCGGAAUAUUGCACAAUGGGCGGAACCCUGAUGCAGCACCGCCGCGUGCGGUAUGACGUCCUUCGGGUUGUAAUCCGCUUUCGCCUGUGACGAAGCGUGAGUGACGGUAAUGGGUAAAGAAGCACCGGCUAACUACGUG
Molecule: ribosomal RNA, 468 nt
Filed under: uncultured bacterium
Lineage: Bacteria
Description: partial 16S ribosomal RNA
Rfam family: Bacterial small subunit ribosomal RNA
Source: RNAcentral